ACCAGUCAUCCUGGUGUGCCUGGGACUGAGGGGUUUCCUGGGAUGUGAGACUUUCAGGUUAAAACCAGGAGAU
Molecule: microRNA precursor, 73 nt
Filed under: Dasypus novemcinctus (nine-banded armadillo)
Lineage: Eukaryota; Metazoa; Chordata; Mammalia; Cingulata; Dasypodidae
Description: miRNA (ENSDNOG00000030373.1)
Source: RNAcentral